CAUACCUGGGUCUUUAGAAGACUCAAGUUUUUAACCAUUUUGGUCCAAGGGGGAAAAAAGGCCACUCCUGGGACACUUGGCGCCUGUGCUCACAGGUCUGGUGGCUUGCUCGGCCCCUCCCCCCUGCUGGGGCUGAACCGGUGCCACCUCAGAAGCCAGACUGCAUCCUGCCUACCCUGUGCCUCUUCUCAUGAAGAGGACAGGACCCUCUGUGAUCUAAGCCGUAUCCUCUCUGCCCUCAACGCCUCACAUGCCCUCCCUUGAAGACAGUGGGAAGUCAGCUACCAUCCUGUCUCAAGAAGAGGCCUGAGCAGCAAGGAGCUUGCUAUGUCUUGGGUGUGGUUUUUCUACCAAAGGUUCAUGUAGAAGAUUGAUCCACAGUGUGGUGAUGUUAAAAAGUGGUGGGAUCUUGCCAGGAGUGGUGGGGGAGGCCUGUAAUCGUAGCACCUGGGAGGCCGAGGCAGGAGCAUUGCAAAUUCAAGCCCAAUCUGGGCAACUUAUUGACCUAGCAAGACCCUGUCUAAAAAUAAAAAAUUUUUUUAAAUGUCUG
This 550-nucleotide long non-coding RNA is filed under the name Heterocephalus glaber (naked mole-rat). RNAcentral describes it as "lncRNA (ENSHGLG00000036920.1)". The record is from RNAcentral. Lineage: Eukaryota; Metazoa; Chordata; Mammalia; Rodentia; Bathyergidae.